RNAcentral lists this long non-coding RNA (2658 nucleotides) under Mytilus galloprovincialis (Mediterranean mussel). Lineage: Eukaryota; Metazoa; Mollusca; Bivalvia; Mytilida; Mytilidae. The record is from RNAcentral.
GUGGUAAGGUUUCCAGAUUUAUAGCUUCAAGUAUGACCCUUGUACUGUUGCACAUCUCAUACUAUGUACUGAAGUGUUCUGUCUCACAGAAUUGGCAAUUUAAAUGGGAUUGUUUGAAGGUGUCCGUUAAUUGAAGUGAAUAUAAAUAUGCAAUACCUGACUAUACGUAUACGGUAUGGGUGUUGUGUAUUGUUGUAGACUGAACGUUGGUCUAUGUCCCCUACAUUUACGUUAUUUUUGUUUCUGGCGGAUAUAUAGUUAGCUCUUUGGCAGUCAUACCACAUCUUCUAAUGAUAUAUAAGGUUUAUUUAAACAUAGAAUUGUUUCAUGAAAAUAUGUGUUUUAUGGAAACAAGUAAUAAAUAAAAUAGGCAGGUCUCAACAUCAGGUCUCAAAACCCUGGUUUAAUAAGAAUUUCGCAGUAAAUAUUACGCAACACUUAAAUCGCCUCUCUGGACAAAUACAUUACAAGUUUCGAGUCAAAAACAUGUUUAAUAAGGCAGACGGGUAGAGGUGUAGUAAUGGACAAUUGCAUAUUGUAACUAAAUAAUACUGGUAUGUAAUAUAUAUAAUGUAUCCAUUAAGAGGCUAAUGUAGCCUGUUUCCGAAGAGAUCCAUUAAGAGGCUAAUGAUCGCUGCAGUUCCAUUCAGAGGAUUUCCGAAGAGAUAAGAGGCUAAUGUAGCCUGUUUAGAUUAAUGUGAGAUUUCAGAGGCUAAUGUAGGAGAUCCACAGAGGCUAAGCCUGUUUCGAGAUCCUAAGUUCCGAAGAGAUCCAUUAAGAGGCUAAUGUAGCCUGUUUCCGAAGAGAUUUUUUAGACUUUACUUUGAUUUCACUGACACUGUCAUUGCAUUUCGGAGAUUCUGCUGCUGCAAUGCCGGAUGGAUUUACAUGUAUAUUAGGUUCCCGCAAUGAAGUGUUAGGAAGGUCUUGUUUGUCUGAUUCAUUUUUAUCUAAAUGAGGUACUAAGAUAACUUUUUCCGGUUGACUUUCCGGUGUAUCAUUUGUUUGUUCAGAUGGCCUAUCACUCAGAUUUGAUUUUGGGAACAUUUGUUCUUUGUUGACAACUUUUGGUAAUCUAUCGGGGAGAUUUUGUACACUUCUAGUUUCCUGAGUUUGCUUUUCAUGUAAUUUUAACUUAGGGUCUUGUUUCUCUUUAUUAGCUAUUCUGGAGAAACGCAACCUGAGUUCAUCUUGUACGGCCAUUUUGUGAACACCGUAUUUAUCGUCAGUAACUGUAUCAUUUUCAUUGUCUAUCCUUUCUUGUUUCUUUAAUUUUGGUUUCGGUUUGAUUUCAGGCUUUGGUUUUACUUCGGGUUUUUGUUUGAUUUCGGGUUUUGGCUUGAUUUCCGGUUUUUCUGUCGAUUGAGCGUUCAUCUUUUUUGGCAUCCUAACAUUUUGAACGUCCAUAGUAUGAACUCUUACCGGUUUAUUUUUUGUACUUGGUGAACUAUGUUCAGUAUUAGUCCGUUUUAGAACAUGAACAUGUGAAUCGGAUCGGUCCUUUCGGAUGGCAUUGUCAACAUAUGGCGCACUUGUUCUUUUAAUUGACCCACGCCUCUCUUUCUCGUCUUGUUUUUUAAGCGAACCUCGUCUCCCUUUUUCAUCGUUUUUAAGUACUGACCCCCUUCUUCCUCUUUCGUCCUGUUUUGGAUCUUCAUGAACAUAAACGGCAUGCAUAAUAGUGGUCACUUUUUUCUUCGAUGAUGCCAAUGAUUGCUCCUGUGGUGGGGCAGAUGGAUUUCUCAAAAUUCCAGGUGAGCGGUGUGGAAUUUUAAUCUGUGAGGCAUGUUCACCGGGUUCGUGGACUCGUACAGAUGUUUGUCGUUGUAGUUUCAAAUGUUCGCUGGAAGCAGGUAUAUGAAAUAAUGGUGUAUCUGUUGUAAUCUUAACAUCAGGCUUGCUCCAGCCAACGCACAAAUCGUUACAAGCAUGGUCGUCGAAAAAUUCAUUAAUUUCCUUUUGUUUCUGUAAUAUUUUUGGAGUUAGUAGAUGAUAUUCAUUGCCACUUUUUACUCCUUUGAAUAUGGCGAUAACAGACUGAUGAUUACCUUCUAUAAAUGAAAAAUGAGAAAAGGCAUCUAAAAUGAUAUCUCCUUCAAAGAAAACCAUUGUAUCCGAAAGUAAAGGUUCAAUUAGCACUAUUUCAUCUUUUUUAAAAUCUCGAAAAUCGUACUGUUUCAUACUCCGACAAAUUUUAUCCCAACGAGAAUAUCCUUUUAAGGGGGCAAGAUACUGCUGAACAAAACUAAUUUUGCCCGCCCCAGUUUUCUCUGUAAAGGCACUAGCUACACCAGCAGCAUGUGUAUUUGAAUCUAAACGAGGCUCCCAGAACUGCUCCGUUCCUGCUCUGAAUCUCCGGAAUUUAACAAUUGCUUUCUUUGGUUUGGGAAGAUGCUCGCCAUACAUAACAGCAUCAUAAACAAGUUGUGUGUACGUUACAUCUUUGGGAUAAAAUCCAAAGCAUGCCCAUACCGAUGGUUCGUCGUCUUUAUUCUCCAACGAGGCCUCCGUAAAGUGAACUAUAUCAAAUAGGCCCAUCACCUGUAAAAAUAUAUAUGCAAAGUAGUAAGAGAUGGUAAAAUGGACGCCCCUCAUCCUAUAUAUACACCAUUUUCCUUUCAGUCAAUUAUUACCUUGCUGUAUCAAAUAGAAACUUAU